GGACAGUUUUGCUUUAUGAAUGCUAUUUACCUAGUCCAGCUUUUUCUUCCUCCCCUAAGGUUUUCCAAGGGAACACAAAGAUAGAAAUUUUAUACCAAAUGGAACUGUUGGACAGGAGGUAUUCAAGUGGAUCACCCAAUGAAUACUUGAAGCAUCUACUGCAGAAGACCUCAAUAAUGCAUAAGAACAUCUGGAAGUACGGUAAUUUCAGCUAUCAGAGAUAAGAAUUGACACAAAACAGGUACUUUGCAGGAGCUUUAAAUGCCACUGCUGGAGCACAAGAUUCAGAUGGCACGUGGAGGGAAGAGAGAAAAAUUAGGAGGAUCUUCAUUUCAAGCCCAUUGGAAGGAGUACAGUAGAGGUGCUGAACCUGACACGGAGCUGGCGCUGCGGAGCGGGGUGGGCAGCCGGACACUGUGCAUGGAGCAUCUUGAGCAGUUGGUAACAUUUGGCAGCUUAACAUAGAAAAAAUGACUGCUAGGGAAAUCUCAACUGCCGCUAAUUAGCAGCAAUGAACUGUGGGUAAGGACAGUCCAUUUUAAUGUGAGAAGAAUUUUACAAUAACCACCACACUGAAAGAAAUAGAACGAAAUGCUCCCUAGCUGACCCUUGUGGCAAUCUAAGCUGCAUAUUGCAAUAAUCCUGUAAAUUACUAUGCUUUUUUAUACAGUAACUUGGAGUUAAUUAGUAAUUUAACAUUCCUCUACGCUAUUAAAUGUCUUUCUUGCAUUAUAUUAUGUUGUUUCAUGGUCUUACCUUAACACUAAUGGGGUUUAGUUAUAUUUUCUCAAAACAGUAACAGUAAAAUAAAACCGAG
RNAcentral lists this long non-coding RNA (817 nucleotides) under Anser brachyrhynchus (Pink-footed goose). RNAcentral's name for it is "lncRNA (ENSABRG00000018167.1)". Lineage: Eukaryota; Metazoa; Chordata; Aves; Anseriformes; Anatidae. The record is from RNAcentral.